UACAGAGACCUCAAGCGUUAUCCGGAAUCAUUGGGCGUAAAGCGUACCGAUAGGUGGUUGAAAUAGUCUUGGGUAAAAGCCAGAAGCUUAACUUCUGAGUUUGCUUAAGAUACUUUUCGACUAGAGGGGCAAAGAGGUGCUUGGAACGAAUGGUGUAGUAGUGAAAUGCGUUGAUAUCAUUCGGAACACCGAAAGCGAAGGCAGAGCACUGGGUGCCACCUGACACUGCUAGGACGAAAGCGUGGGUAGCGAAUGGG
RNAcentral lists this ribosomal RNA (257 nucleotides) under uncultured bacterium. RNAcentral describes it as "partial 16S ribosomal RNA". It matches the Rfam family "Bacterial small subunit ribosomal RNA", at positions 524 to 776 of the family's 1533-position model. The record is from RNAcentral.